ACUUGGGAGGCAACACAGGUAAAUAAAUUUAGAGCCUAGAGAAUGGACGAGGUCACCAAGGGACUCAUGGCUACAGGAGACCAAGGAAGAAGGACUAAACCCAGGACCCAGUGCUGAGACGUCUGAUCAGACCACACACCAGAGCCGACUGCACUCUUCUGUCUCCGGGUCUAGAAGGCACAGGGACUAUGGAGCCCCCAGCGUUCCUGUGCGCAGGAACCACCUAGACCUCUUGUUGGCUCAGGACAUCUGGAGCAGAGUGUGAGAGUCUGGCUCUAUCCCAAGGUGCUGAUGCUGCUGGUCUUCAGAUCCCACACUGAGCAGCGAGAACACAGACCAGGAUCCCCGUGUCUGUGUGUCAGCCUUGCCUGCAGGGUGUUACACAGAUAUAGUUCUUGGAGCAAACAAUGGAAUCCCAAUCUUUUCUAGUUUAGAUAUAAAGUAGUAUAUAUAUGAUAUUGGGGUCUAGUAGUAUUUGGGGGAAAACCACAGGCUUCAGGUCACACAGCCAGAAACUGAUCCACAUUCAGCCCAGGUUGGGUCCUAUACAGGAGCCACCACCCUGUUGCUGGGCACAGAUGCCACUGCUCACACCACUGACCCCUGAUGCUGAACCCUGGCCCUGUGGCGAGGAUGGCUCCCUCUGCGGCUCCUGAAACCUGCACUGUUACUGUCACUCCCACCACCCUUCCCAGAUGCAGCCUGCGCAGUCCCAGCCACUCUGUUACCUGGUUCUGAGUCAGAGCCCGGCAUGGGGUUACGUGUGUAGAUGCAUGAAUGUUGGGGGACAUGGGCUUUCCUGUCUUAUGGAGGGACAUGAUAUCUGCCUCUCACCAAGUCUGUUUGUGUGUGGGAAUCUUGUCCUGUCGAAAGAGAGUUCAGGUGUUGGGUGAGGGAUGGAUAAGGAUGACAAAUUUCAAAUGGAGCAAAGAUCUGAGACUGGGACUUUGGUACUUUGCAGGCACUCAGGUUUGGCUGGAAAUCAAGUGACCAAUAAAGGACAUCCCAUCUGGAGGGCUACUCGCUCUUUGUGGGAUGGGGAGGAAUUUUUUGCCUGCACUCACCAAAUUAGUAUUACAAGAAAUGAUAAAGAAACUUCUUUU
Molecule: long non-coding RNA, 1103 nt
Organism: Myotis brandtii (Brandt's bat)
Lineage: Eukaryota; Metazoa; Chordata; Mammalia; Chiroptera; Vespertilionidae
Exons: 2
Source: RefSeq, a predicted model, not a curated record